GACGAACGCUGGCGGCGUGCUUAACACAUGCAAGUCGAGCGGUAAGGCCCUUUCGGGGGUACGACGAGCGGCGAACGGGUGAGUAACACGUGGGUGACCUGCCUCUAGCUCUGGGAUAAGCCCGGGAAACUGGGUCGUAAUACUGGAUAUGACUCCAUGACGCAUGUUGUGGGGUGGAAAGCCUCGUGCGGCUAGAGAUGGGCCCGCGGCCUAUCAGCUUGUUGGUGGGGUGAUGGCCUACCAAGGCGACGACGGGUAGCCGGCCU
RNAcentral lists this ribosomal RNA (266 nucleotides) under uncultured bacterium. Its description in RNAcentral is "partial 16S ribosomal RNA". It matches the Rfam family "Bacterial small subunit ribosomal RNA", at positions 28 to 293 of the family's 1533-position model. The record is from RNAcentral.